Molecule: ribosomal RNA, 269 nt
Filed under: uncultured prokaryote
Description: partial 16S ribosomal RNA
Rfam family: Bacterial small subunit ribosomal RNA
Source: RNAcentral
UACGUAGGUGGCGAGCGUUGUCCGGAUUUACUGGGCGUAAAGGGAGCGUAGGCGGACUUUUAAGUGAGAUGUGAAAUACCCGGGCUCAACUUGGGUGCUGCAUUUCAAACUGGAAGUCUAGAGUGCAGGAGAGGAGAAUGGAAUUCCUAGUGUAGCGGUGAAAUGCGUAGAUAUUAGGAGGAACACCAGUAGCGAAGGCGGGUGACUGGACUGCAACUGACGUUGAGGCUCGAAAGCGUGGGGAGCAAACAGGAUUAGAUACCCUGGUA